Molecule: non-coding RNA, 664 nt
Organism: Electrophorus electricus (electric eel)
Lineage: Eukaryota; Metazoa; Chordata; Actinopteri; Gymnotiformes; Gymnotidae
Source: RefSeq, a predicted model, not a curated record
AGGGUCAAGUAUUACCUUUUCAGCGUUUCCUGAGACUGAACUAAAUACAUGAUGUUCUGAGCGUCGAGAGGACGGCACGACAAUAGUUGUCAAAUGUCAAGAAUUAACUGUAUGAAUAAGGACUUGAAUGGCAUGUAUAUAGAAUCUGCUUUCAAUACAAGUUACUGCUAAACUUGUUGACAGUUUUCUUCUAGGUGCUUGGUCUGCCAUGCGGGAUGAGUGGGUCUCAGAAAACAUCCAUGACUACAUGAAUCCAUGUGGAAUUGCUGUGGGGAAAGCUGAAGAAUCGGGACCAGCAGCUUGCAUCAUGGCCUGGUAAAAUUAAAAAGGUAGCACAAGGAGCAGUGUAAGUUAAAGCUUUUACUGGUACUCCACCACACUGCAGUCUGCUUAUGUAGAUCUGCUCUGCUAUAGCAUUUUGAUAAAUGUUGGAGCGUCUUGGCUCUUUUGUGUACCAACAAAACAUUGCUGUGAGCAGAUUUUGCACUUCAGCUUUAUCUUCACAAAAGAAGGAAAAUGGGUUUUGUUUGGGGGAAAGUGAUUGUCAUUUGUGUUCUGUAAAGAAGUGCGUUGUAUAUGGAAAAAAAAAAUGUAUUUGAAAUCCAAAGACUGUUUAGGAACAUGGAUAUCAGUAUCUGCAAAUAAAUCCUAUUUUUAUCAUCCA